Saccoglossus kowalevskii is the source of this 259-nucleotide long non-coding RNA. The record is from RefSeq and is a predicted model, not a curated record. Lineage: Eukaryota; Metazoa; Hemichordata; Enteropneusta; Harrimaniidae.
UCAACAGGAUUUAGAAGACUAUGCUAUGGAACAAGACAUAGACGGCGUUCGAGCAGCUAGUUUGCCGGAUGAAAGAUUUAUUGACCCGAUGAGGAGAUUCUAUGGCAGAAAGAGAUAAACACAUCGUAUGGGCCAGUCUAUCACAUGUUCGAAAUUAGUCGAAGAUAACAUCUUAGUGUUUUAUAAAUUCAUGUUAGGAUAUGGUAAUAUAUUGUAAUCAUGAGAUGACUGAAUAAAUCCUAUGCACAUUAUCAAAACA